UUGGAGGGCAAGUCUGGUGCCAGCAGCCGCGGUAAUUCCAGCUCCAAUAGCGUAUAUUAAAGUUGUUGCAGUUAAAAAGCUCGUAGUUGAAUUUCGGGGUCAGUAGGUCGGUCGUGCCACUGGUAUGAACUGGUUUUACUGAUUCCUCCCUCUUGAAGAACUGUAAUGCCAUUAAUUUGGUGUUGCAGGGAAUCAGGACUGUUACUUUGAAAAAAUUAGAGUGUUUAAAGCAGGCUUUAGCUUGAAUACAUUAGCAUGGAAUAAUGAAAUAGGACGUUUGAUCCUAUUUUGUUGGUUUCUAGGAUUGACGUAAUGAUUAAUAGGGAUAGUUGGGGGCAUUAGUAUUCAAUUGUCAGAGGUGAAAUUCUUGGAUCUAUUGAAGACUAACUACUGCGAAAGCAUUUGCCAAGGAUGUUUUCAUUAAUCAAGAACGAAAGUUAGGGGAUCGAAGACGGUCAGAUACCGUCGUAAUCUUAACCAUAAACUAUGCCGACUAGGGAUCGGAUGAUGUUAAUUUUUUAAUGACUCAUUCGGCGCCUUACGGGAAAC
Molecule: ribosomal RNA, 549 nt
Filed under: uncultured Glomeromycotina
Lineage: Eukaryota; Fungi; Glomeromycota
Description: SSU rRNA
Rfam family: Eukaryotic small subunit ribosomal RNA
Source: RNAcentral